This 1186-nucleotide ribosomal RNA is filed under the name uncultured Arthrobacter sp. Its description in RNAcentral is "bacterial SSU rRNA". It matches the Rfam family "Bacterial small subunit ribosomal RNA", at positions 46 to 1255 of the family's 1533-position model. The record is from RNAcentral. Lineage: Bacteria; Bacillati; Actinomycetota; Actinomycetes; Micrococcales; Micrococcaceae.
GCUUACNNUGCAGUCGAACGAUGAUCUCCAGCUUGCUGGGGGGAUUAGUGGCGAACGGGUGAGUAACACGUGAGUAACCUGCCCUUAACUCUGGGAUAAGCCUGGGAAACUGGGUCUAAUACCGGAUAUGACCUUCCAUCGCAUGGUGGUUGGUGGAAAGCUUUUUGUGGUUUUGGAUGGACUCGCGGCCUAUCAGCUUGUUGGUGAGGUAAUGGCUUACCAAGGCGACGACGGGUAGCCGGCCUGAGAGGGUGACCGGCCACACUGGGACUGAGACACGGCCCAGACUCCUACGGGAGGCAGCAGUGGGGAAUAUUGCACAAUGGGCGCAAGCCUGAUGCAGCGACGCCGCGUGAGGGAUGACGGCCUUCGGGUUGUAAACCUCUUUCAGUAGGGAAGAAGCGAAAGUGACGGUACCUGCAGAAGAAGCGCCGGCUAACUACGUGCCAGCAGCCGCGGUAAUACGUAGGGCGCAAGCGUUAUCCGGAAUUAUUGGGCGUAAAGAGCUCGUAGGCGGUUUGUCGCGUCUGCCGUGAAAGUCCGGGGCUCAACUCCGGAUCUGCGGUGGGUACGGGCAGACUAGAGUGAUGUAGGGGAGACUGGAAUUCCUGGUGUAGCGGUGAAAUGCGCAGAUAUCAGGAGGAACACCGAUGGCGAAGGCAGGUCUCUGGGCAUUAACUGACGCUGAGGAGCGAAAGCAUGGGGAGCGAACAGGAUUAGAUACCCUGGUAGUCCAUGCCGUAAACGUUGGGCACUAGGUGUGGGGGACAUUCCACGUUUUCCGCGCCGUAGCUAACGCAUUAAGUGCCCCGCCUGGGGAGUACGGCCGCAAGGCUAAAACUCAAAGGAAUUGACGGGGGCCCGCACAAGCGGCGGAGCAUGCGGAUUAAUUCGAUGCAACGCGAAGAACCUUACCAAGGCUUGACAUGAAUCAGUAAGGCGCAGAGAUGCGUCCCCCUCUUGAGGCUGGUUUACAGGUGGUGCAUGGUUGUCGUCAGCUCGUGUCGUGAGAUGUUGGGUUAAGUCCCGCAACGAGCGCAACCCUCGUUCUAUGUUGCCAGCACGUGAUGGUGGGGACUCAUAGGAGACUGCCGGGUCAACUCGGAGGAAGGGGGGACGACGUCAAUCAUCAUGCCCCUUNGUCUGGGCUUNCGCAUGCUACAUGGCCGGUAAAAGGUUGGANACU